UGUUUGAAUAUUUCGAUGUAUCAAACUCUUAUAAACAAGAUAGGGUAUUUCUACAUACUAGUGGUACCCACGGCAAAUGGAUCAUAAAGUCUUCAAAAAAGAAUAGAUACGAUUGCAUUGCAUGUAGUAACGGAUGCGAUCAUACCACGAUUAAUGCACCGGAUCCCAUCAGGACUCUACAGUUAAGCGUGCUUGGGUGAGAGUAGUACUAGGAUGGGUGACCUCUCGGAAAGUCCUCGUGUUGCAUCCCUC
RNAcentral lists this ribosomal RNA (252 nucleotides) under Arabidopsis thaliana (thale cress). The record is from RNAcentral. Lineage: Eukaryota; Viridiplantae; Streptophyta; Magnoliopsida; Brassicales; Brassicaceae.